Molecule: ribosomal RNA, 468 nt
Filed under: uncultured bacterium
Lineage: Bacteria
Description: partial 16S ribosomal RNA
Rfam family: Bacterial small subunit ribosomal RNA
Source: RNAcentral
GACGAACGCUGGCGGCGUGCUUAACACAUGCAAGUCGAACGGAAAGGCCCUGCCUUUGUGGGGUGCUCGAGUGGCGAACGGGUGAGUAACACGUGAGUAACCUGCCCUUGACUUUGGGAUAACUUCAGGAAACUGGGGCUAAUACCGGAUAGGAGCACCUGCUGCAUGGUGGGGGUCGGAAAGUUUCGGCGGUUGGGGAUGGACUCGCGGCUUAUCAGCUUGUUGGUGGGGUAGUGGCUUACCAAGGCUUUGACGGGUAGCCGGCCUGAGAGGGUGACCGGCCACAUUGGGACUGAGAUACGGCCCAGACUCCUACGGGAGGCAGCAGUGGGGUAUAUUGCACAAUGGGCGGAAGCCUGAUGCAGCGACGCCGCGUGCGGGAUGACGGCCUUCGGGUUGUAAACCGCUUUCGCCUGUGACGAAGCGUGAGUGACGGUAAUGGGUAAAGAAGCACCGGCUAACUACGUG